This is a long non-coding RNA of Populus euphratica (Euphrates poplar), 166 nucleotides long. RefSeq lists it as uncharacterized. The transcript has 2 exons. NCBI's taxonomy places the organism in Eukaryota, Viridiplantae, Streptophyta, Magnoliopsida, Malpighiales, Salicaceae. The record is from RefSeq and is a predicted model, not a curated record.
CAAUUCUAUUUGCUGAUAUCCAAUCUUGUUUUCAACCGGUUCUACCGUUCCAAAAUGGCAUGCUCGAGCUAUAUAUAUACCGUUGUGUUUUGCAAUUUUAUUGAAACAGUCUAGUCGAUCGUUAUUAAGUUAUCAUAUACUACAAUGAAAUUAUGAUUAUUGUUCA